This is a long non-coding RNA of Argentina anserina (silverweed cinquefoil), 302 nucleotides long. RefSeq lists it as uncharacterized. The record is from RefSeq and is a predicted model, not a curated record. NCBI's taxonomy places the organism in Eukaryota, Viridiplantae, Streptophyta, Magnoliopsida, Rosales, Rosaceae. The transcript has 3 exons.
GCCUUAGUCAAGAUUGUGGAUCAUUUCUAUCCUUUCUUGGGUAGCUGGAUCUCUGAUCUUGGGACUCUUGGAGUUCAUGUCGCAUUUGCUGCUAUCUUUACAUUAGGCUAUGUGAUGGGAGUGCAUCACAUGGAGGAAGUUGUUGACAACCCUCUUGCUCAUUAGGCAUGGUGCUUCUGAAUUGGAGCUUUAACUGCAAGCUGAAGACAAUUAGUUCCUUGUAUAUCUUUAGUUCCCAGAAUCUGUUGCUUAACGCGCGUCGUUGAUGUAUCUAAUCCUUGUGCUUAGUUGAUGCUACUUUA